This 409-nucleotide ribosomal RNA is filed under the name Fusobacteriota bacterium. Its description in RNAcentral is "Fusobacteria bacterium partial 16S ribosomal RNA". It matches the Rfam family "Bacterial small subunit ribosomal RNA", at positions 355 to 776 of the family's 1533-position model. Lineage: Bacteria; Fusobacteriati; Fusobacteriota. The record is from RNAcentral.
UGGGGAAUAUUGCACAAUGGAGGGAACUCUGAUGCAGCAACGCCGCGUGCGGGAUGACGGCCUUCGGGUUGUAAACCGCUUUCAGCCAUGACGAAGCUUUUGUGACGGUAGUGGUAGAAGAAGCACCCGCUAACUACGUGCCAGCAGCCGCGGUGAUACGUAGGGUGCGAGCGUUGUCCGGAAUUAUUGGGCGUAAAGAGCUUGUAGGCGGUUUGUCGCGUCGAUAGUGUAAACACGCAGCUUAACUGUGUGCCUGCUGUCGAUACGGGCUGACUAGAGGAGGGUAGGGGAGAAUGGAAUUCCCGGUGGAGCGGUGGAAUGCGCAGAUAUCGGGAGGAACACCAGUGGCGAAGGCGGUUCUCUGGACCUUUCCUGACGCUGAGAAGCGAAAGCGUGGGUAGCAAACAGG